RNAcentral lists this ribosomal RNA (254 nucleotides) under uncultured bacterium. RNAcentral describes it as "partial 16S ribosomal RNA". It matches the Rfam family "Bacterial small subunit ribosomal RNA", at positions 524 to 776 of the family's 1533-position model. The record is from RNAcentral.
UACGAAGGGGGCUAGCGUUGCUCGGAAUUACUGGGCGUAAAGCGCGACGUAGCGGUCGUUUUAAGUCGGGGGUGAAAUCCUGGAGCUCAACUCCAGAACUGCCUUCGAUACUGGAAGACUUGAGUCCGGGAGAGGUGAGUGGAACUGCGAGUGUAGAGGUGAAAUUCGUAGAUAUUCGCAAGAACACCAGUGGCGAAGGCGGCUCACUGGCCCGGUACUGACGCUGAGGUGCGAAAGCGUGGGGAGCAAACAGG